Molecule: long non-coding RNA, 1505 nt
Organism: Cyprinus carpio carpio
Lineage: Eukaryota; Metazoa; Chordata; Actinopteri; Cypriniformes; Cyprinidae
Source: Ensembl
CAGGCUGUAAAUCUGUUUUAUUGAGCAGUAUUUUAGGCACUGGGUCUUUGUCAUUAGCGUACAUUUGCAGUCUGUAAUGCAUGCUCCUCUGGAAACAGCCUGGCACUGAACAGCGCCCUCCAUCAUACAAACUGGACACCUUAUGUAUUAGUUCAAGAUCAUCUGAAAGAUGUUGCACAAGAACUCGGACGCUGUCAUGUUUCUCGAGCUCAGGUGAUCCGUCACAAGGAAGAAAGCACCGGCAGUUUCUGUCCGUCUCCUGUAGAGGAGCAGAACCUGAGGUGGCACAGCCAUGGAAAAUGAUGCACGGCAGGAAAAUCAGCCAUUUGGCUCUGAGGAGAACAGAAAAGGGCUGAUUAUGUGGUAGAUCUGCACUACAUGAUUGCUUAUUUAAUAAAUUUAUUGUUUUCUGUGAGUGGAUUCAGGAUUUUUCUCUGAUGAUUUGUGUUUGUUGUUGCUAUGAGCUUCUGAGUGUAUCCUAAAUAAAUGAAAAGUAAGAAUGCCACUAAAUUUCUGUAAUUUAAUAUAGCAACUUAAACUUGAAGAAAACCCCUUUUUUCUGGACUUAUUUUCUGUUUUUUUUUUUUUUCUAUUCUUUAUUUCUUUGUCUUGUUUUAUAAUGCGUGUCUGUUGUAUGGCGAACAAAUUUUCAAUUCUGUAUCAGAAUACCAGAAUCUGAACGGUUUAAUAAAGCGCUUGCUUUAAAAGAAAACUACACCACCCAGAAUGCAUUGCGCACUGACGUCAUUCAUAUCACGAGAUGCCUAAAAGUUUUCUUAGUUAGAAGAAGAAAGUUUUCUUAGUUAGCUAAUUUGUGUUUUGACAUGUCAAAACAGAAAUAAACGUACUGCCAAAAUAAGAAACACACAACCUGUUUCUGAGCUAUAUUUAAAACAUGCUUACCGGUUAAUUACCGGUGAAGUCAUGGUUGCGGCGCGCUUAAAUGUGGAAGGUUUCCAACUCUAGCUAAACACUUUACACUGGGUUUUGGUUCAGCAAAACGCAAACCGAAGCUAGAAUGCCAGAAAGUUCAAUCCCGGUAUAAAUAACUGUACGAUUGUAUCAAUCCUCAACACGUGCGUGUGUAAAGAGCAUGGUAGCUACAGAGUCGCGAGGACGUUCUCUUCCUCUUCUUAUUGUAAUAAAUGGCUCUUCACUCUCAGGAGCAUUAACUCCACACACCGUGUGUUGUUACCUAUAUACUGUUGCCUAUAUCUUACAACAUGUAGUGUAGACGACGAAAUGAAACGCGAGUUUAGUAGAUUUACUACCGGAAAAUGAAUGAACUGGGUUUGCGCACGUGACGAGAUCAGCCAUAGAUCUGCAUAGAUUCCCCAUAGACCUUCUUUUUUAUGACAAAACACUUAACAAGCACAUAACCACAGCAACCUCAAAAACAAUAGAGGACAAAAUACAAAAACAUAAUACAAUAUACAAGAUAGAAAGUAAAAUAAUAAUAAUUCUAAAAAAGAAACUAUAUAUAUCAUAAACCAGAAGGGGGAAAU